Molecule: ribosomal RNA, 506 nt
Filed under: uncultured bacterium
Lineage: Bacteria
Description: partial 16S ribosomal RNA
Rfam family: Bacterial small subunit ribosomal RNA
Source: RNAcentral
AGUGAACGCUGGCGGUAGGCCUAACACAUGCAAGUCGAACGGCAGCACAGGAGAGCUUGCUCUCUGGGUGGCGAGUGGCGGACGGGUGAGGAAUACAUCGGAAUCUACUCUGUCGUGGGGGAUAACGUAGGGAAACUUACGCUAAUACCGCAUACGACCUACGGGUGAAAGCAGGGGACCUUCGGGCCUUGCGCGAUUGAAUGAGCCGAUGUCGGAUUAGCUAGUUGGCGGGGUAAAGGCCCACCAAGGCGACGAUCCGUAGCUGGUCUGCGAGGAUGGUCAGCCACACUGGAACUGAGCAACGGUCAAGACUCCGACGGGAGGCAGCAGUGGGGAAUAUUGGACAAUGGGAGCAAGCCUGAUCCAGCCAAACCGCGUGGGUGAAGAAGGCCUUCGGGUUGUAAAGCCCUUUUGUUGGGAAAGAAAUCCAGCUGGCUAAUACCCGGUUGGGAUGACGGUACCCAAAGAAUAAGCACCGGCUAACUUCGUGCCAGCCGCCGCCGUAA